CAGAGAGGGCUGAUAGCAGAAAUCAUAUCUCGUUUUGAACGUAAGGGUUUCAAGCUUGUGGCAAUUAAGAUAGUGGUUCCUUCGAAGGAAUUUGCUCAGAAGCAUUAUCAUGAUCUGAAGGAAAGACCCUUCUUUGAUGGUCUCUGUGACUUCCUUAGCUCGGGCCCUGUUAUUGCUAUGGUCUGGGAAGGAGAAGGGGUGAUUAAAUAUGGUAGGAAGCUCAUUGGAGCCACAGAUCCCCAGAAAUCAGAACCUGGAACUAUCAGAGGUGAUCUAGCCGUUGUUGUUGGAAGAAAUAUCAUCCAUGGAAGUGAUGGCCCGGAAACUGCCAAGGAUGAGAUUAACUUGUGGUUCAAACCGGAUGAAUUGGUUAGUUAUUCAAGCAAUGCUGAGAAAUGGCUCUACGGAGUUGACUGAAGUUUGUUCUCAGGUUUUCUUCAGAAACUUAGGUCCCACAUGUAGGAUGGGGGAGAAUCAUAAUUUUUAGAAUAAGAUUGUUUCCGCUGAGGCGAGUGAAAAUGGUGCUUUGCUACAAACAAUUGGCAAAAGUUGAAAUUUUAGUAAUAUUCUAUUUCACCCUCUUUUUGUCAUCACCUCAAAUCACAUAGCUAUUCUACCUUCAAAUUGUUCAAUAUCCUGGAA
Molecule: unclassified non-coding RNA, 642 nt
Filed under: Hevea brasiliensis (rubber tree)
Lineage: Eukaryota; Viridiplantae; Streptophyta; Magnoliopsida; Malpighiales; Euphorbiaceae
Source: RNAcentral